CGAUCUUUCAUAGGGAAUUUGAAAGACAACCGUUUAUCCCGCCCCUCAGAUUGAGCCCUGCCAAUGGUGAGUUCCCAGACCCAACAUCUGGAUGUAGGUCUGACUUGUCAGGCUACAACUCUAGUUCCCUUGGAAGCGAACCGAGACCCCCAAAAAAAUAUUCACGAUUCACUUCAUACAGUUUAUGGAUCUGUAAAUAAACUUCAUACAGUGUAAUUU
Sander lucioperca (pikeperch) is the source of this 219-nucleotide long non-coding RNA. RefSeq lists it as uncharacterized. The record is from RefSeq and is a predicted model, not a curated record. The transcript is spliced from 3 exons. Lineage: Eukaryota; Metazoa; Chordata; Actinopteri; Perciformes; Percidae.